CUUGGUCAUUUAGAGGAAGUAAAAGUCGUAACAAGGUCUCCGUAGGUGAGCCUGCGGAGGGAUCAUUACAAGUGACCCCGGUCUAACCACCGGGAUGUUCAUAACCCUUUGUUGUCCGACUCUGUUGCCUCCGGGGCGACCCUGCCUUCGGGCGGGGGCUCCGGGUGGACACUUCAAACUCUUGCGUAACUUUGCAGUCUGAGUAAACUUAAUUAAUAAAUUAAAACUUUUAACAACGGAUCUCUUGGUUCUGGCAUCGAUGAAGAACGCAGCGAAAUGCGAUAAGUAAUGUGAAUUGCAGAAUUCAGUGAAUCAUCGAAUCUUUGAACGCACAUUGCGCCCCCUGGUAUUCCGGGGGGCAUGCCUGUUCGAGCGUCAUUUCACCACUCAAGCCUCGCUUGGUAUUGGGCAUCGCGGUCCGCCGCGUGCCUCAAAUCGACCGGCUGGGUCUUCUGUCCCCUAAGCGUUGUGGAAACUAUUCGCUAAAGGGUGUUCGGGAGGCUACGCCGUAAAACAACCCCAUUUCUAAGGUUGACCUCGGAUCAGGUAGGGAUACCCGCUGAACUUAAGCAUAUCAAUAAGCGGAGGA
Molecule: ribosomal RNA, 589 nt
Filed under: uncultured Cladosporium
Lineage: Eukaryota; Fungi; Ascomycota; Dothideomycetes; Cladosporiales; Cladosporiaceae
Description: eukaryotic LSU rRNA
Rfam family: 5.8S ribosomal RNA (bases 225-378)
Source: RNAcentral